GCAACUGAUCAAAGUUUCUCUUCAAAACCACAAUCGUUUCUCAAAUUUCUCUGCGGGAUUAAGUCAAACUUUGGCUCCACGCGAACGCGACUGUGACCUUGAUCUUCAGGCUAAAGCCAAAGAAGAAGGGUUCUCCGCCAAGGAAAGGGAAGACACAUGAUCCAACCGGUGGUCUGGUAGAUCCCUUAACUGUGUUUGGAGGACUUCCUGGUGCCCUUCCUCCAACCACUGGAGGAGCUGAGGGAAUCACUGGAGGGUACUUCCCAGUCCCAGUCGUCUCAGUUAUCGUGGGUUUCGUCAUAUGUCUUAUAAAUUGAUGAUGUUUAACAUUGUCUAAUGCUCGUUUAAGUUAACUGGAGGAGGAUCUCUCUUUAGCUACGGCUGCUAUGGCUGGUUUGGACUUGCUUGAUGCUAGUGAUGACGACGAUGAUGGAAAUGAUCAUAAUUGCAAAGGAGUUGGGUAUAUGUCUGCGGCGGUUAUAUUGUUAGGUAUCAGGGCCAUCUAUUAGCAAAGGAAUUGGUAGCUAGAGGACUGCAGACCACUGUGAUCACUGACUCUGCAGUUUUUGCUAUGAUUUCUCGAGUGAAUAUGGUACAUUUUCAGUCCUGCCCAGAUUUAUAUAUUCAUGUCGCUUGGCUUCUAAAAAUAGAUCUCAAAUGAUGUGAUAAUACACAGGUUAUAAUUGGAGCUCAUGCAGUGAGCAUCAUUAUCCGUUGUCCUUAA
Raphanus sativus (radish) is the source of this 724-nucleotide long non-coding RNA. RefSeq lists it as uncharacterized. The transcript has 3 exons. The record is from RefSeq and is a predicted model, not a curated record. NCBI's taxonomy places the organism in Eukaryota, Viridiplantae, Streptophyta, Magnoliopsida, Brassicales, Brassicaceae.